RNAcentral lists this RNase P RNA (464 nucleotides) under Hymenobacter daecheongensis DSM 21074. RNAcentral describes it as "Bacterial RNase P class A". It matches the Rfam family "Bacterial RNase P class A". Rfam says of the family: Ribonuclease P (RNase P) is a ubiquitous endoribonuclease, found in archaea, bacteria and eukarya as well as chloroplasts and mitochondria. Its best characterised activity is the generation of mature 5'-ends of tRNAs by cleaving the 5'-leader elements of precursor-tRNAs. Cellular RNase Ps are ribonucleoproteins. The record is from Rfam by way of RNAcentral. Lineage: Bacteria; Pseudomonadati; Bacteroidota; Cytophagia; Cytophagales; Hymenobacteraceae.
GUGAUGAGUCGCUCCACCGCGGCGCCGGGGCUUUACGCCGGCGACGAGGAAAGUCCGGGCAACGCAGAGCACCCUGCUUCCUAACGGGAAGGACUGGCGCAAGCCAGGACAGCCAGUGCCACAGAAAAUAACCGCCAGGUGGUGAGUUAGUGAUUUAGCGACUUAGUGAGUUGUCGUUCCGGCACUCACUAAAUCACUAAGUCGCUAAAUCACCUUUGGUAAGGGUGAAAAGGUGCGGUAAGAGCGCACCAGCGGCUGGGUGACCAGGCCGGCUGGGUAAACCUCAGGGGUUGAAAGACCAAAUAAGCGGAUACGUCCGGGGGCAACUCCGGGCACCGGGCGGCUCGUCCGGCAUCCGUGGGUAGGUUGAUGGAGCCUUUCCGCGAGGACUGGCCUAGAUAAAUGGUGGAGGCGCUUCCCCUCGGGGCGGCGUACAAAACCCGGCUUACAGACUCAUCAUGCGU